RNAcentral lists this ribosomal RNA (430 nucleotides) under uncultured bacterium. Its description in RNAcentral is "bacterial SSU rRNA". It matches the Rfam family "Bacterial small subunit ribosomal RNA", at positions 355 to 776 of the family's 1533-position model. The record is from RNAcentral.
UAAGGAAUUUUGCGCAAUGGGGGAAACCCUGACGCAGCAACGCCGCGUGACCGAUGAAGCUUCUAGGAGCGUAAAGGUCUGUCGUAAGGGAAGAAAUAUUUGGAUGUAAAUAAUGUUUGAAUUUGACGGUACCUUACAAGAAAGCACCGGCUAACUUCGUGCCAGCAGCCGCGGUAAUACGAGGGGUGCGAGCGUUGUCCGGAAUCACUGGGCGUAAAGGGUCCGUAGGCUUUUUAACAAGUCAUUUGUUAAAGACAUCGGCUUAACCGAUGGAAUGCAAAUGAAACUGUUAGAAUAGAGUAUAGGAGAGGAAAGUGGAAUUCCUGGUGUAGCGGUGACAUGCGUAGAUAUCAGGAGGAACACCAAUGGCGAAGGCAGCUUUCUGGCCUAUUACUGACGCUGAUGGACGAAAGCGUGGGGAGCGAACAGG